UACGUAGGGGGCAAGCGUUAUCCGGAUUUACUGGGUGUAAAGGGAGCGUAGACGGCAAUGCAAGUCUGGAGUGAAAGGCGGGGGCCCAACCCCCGGACUGCUCUGGAAACUGUAUAGCUGGAGUGCAGGAGAGGUAAGUGGAAUUCCUAGUGUAGCGGUGAAAUGCGUAGAUAUUAGGAGGAACACCAGUGGCGAAGGCGGCUUACUGGACUGUAACUGGCGUUGAGGCUCGAAAGCGUGGGUAGCAAACAGG
RNAcentral lists this ribosomal RNA (253 nucleotides) under uncultured bacterium. Its description in RNAcentral is "partial 16S ribosomal RNA". It matches the Rfam family "Bacterial small subunit ribosomal RNA", at positions 524 to 776 of the family's 1533-position model. The record is from RNAcentral.